Plasmodium ovale wallikeri is the source of this 71-nucleotide non-coding RNA. The record is from Rfam. Lineage: Eukaryota; Apicomplexa; Aconoidasida; Haemosporida; Plasmodiidae.
UUAAUAUGAUGAUUAGUUUUUGUCUGUAUCAUAAGAGAUGAAGACAAUUGUACUGCCCCAAACUGAUUAAA